Molecule: ribosomal RNA, 253 nt
Filed under: uncultured bacterium
Lineage: Bacteria
Description: partial 16S ribosomal RNA
Rfam family: Bacterial small subunit ribosomal RNA
Source: RNAcentral
UACGAAGGGGGCUAGCGUUGCUCGGAAUCACUGGGCGUAAAGCGCACGUAGGCGGCUUUUUAAGUCAGAGGUGAAAGCCUGGAGCUCAACUCCAGAACUGCCUUUGAGACUGCAUCGCUUGAAUCCAGGAGAGGUGAGUGGAAUUCCGAGUGUAGAGGUGAAAUUCGUAGAUAUUCGGAAGAACACCAGUGGCGAAGGCGGCUCACUGGACUGGUAUUGACGCUGAGGUGCGAAAGCGUGGGGAGCAAACAGG